UCUAAACAAAAUCCUUCUACCUGUCAGAUGUGGCCCACAGGCCAAAAGUGUUGGUUUCCUCUGGCUUGGAUGUGGACAGUGGAUGAGAGAAGCAGAUUUUAUUAUAGGAAAAAUGGGGCAUGAGAUGAUGGUUAUGCUCUAGGUCUCAGUUGAGUUCCUGGGAUGAUCAAGUGAGGGUCUUUAGCUGUGAGCAGGAAAGAAUUCAGGAGUGAGUCAUUAUAAAAUGAAAGCAGGUUUUUUAGAGAGAUACACACUCAGAGUAUGGACUGUCUCAAAAGGCAAGAGAGGCCCCAGGGUAUGGAGGUGGUUAGUUCCUAGUUAAAGAAUGGGAGGAUUAUUCCAACUGUCUUGGAGAGGGUGGAAAAGUUGAAGAAUUGGGACAACACUGAUGUUUUGACCCUGAAACUGUCAUGCAGCUUGUGGGUAUGUCAUUAAUUAAUGUAAUGCAGUGAGUGUAUACUGAGGCGUAAGGUCCACUGGAGAUCGAAUCUUCUGCCAUCUUGGGCCUGGCCGGUUUUAACUGGUUUUUGUUGUAACCUGUUCUCGGCAGUUGUGUCAUACUUUUAACAAUUGCCCCCUGUCUCCUUCCUUCCUGUCUCAAAUUGUUUAUAGUCAUCAGCCUCAGGAAGAGGCACAUACCUCUCUGGGUGAAUUCUGGCUUUGAGUUGGAAUGGAAGCAGGUAGGGUGUGGAGGCAGGUGACCACAUCCAGUCCACGCUCCCCAUCCUGCUGGGCAUACACGCAGCUGGCCUGGACAUGCGGUGUGGCCACAGCAUUGAGUUCUGGCCAGUGGACUCAGAUGGGAGGGAAAGGGAAAUCCCCCCACCAGGAGCUGCGGAUGUCAGAGAGAGAAACACAUUCCUGCUGAUAUGUGGCAGGGAGGGAGCCGGGAACAAAUGCCUCCUCUCUCUCAUUCCUUCACAUCCUCUUAGAUUCCCGGAUGAUGGCUCAUUGGCUGAGCCUCACCAGAAGCCAGAGGUAAGAGACGCUGAGUGGCAAUAUUUCACCAUAACUUACUCAGAAGGGACAUACAGAGAGGGACUUUCUUUCCUUUCUCAAAAUAAUCACGAAUCUAGAGUCACUCCUAACAAAGCUAAC
RNAcentral lists this long non-coding RNA (1098 nucleotides) under Capra hircus (goat). RNAcentral's name for it is "lncRNA (ENSCHIG00000000784.1)". Lineage: Eukaryota; Metazoa; Chordata; Mammalia; Artiodactyla; Bovidae. The record is from RNAcentral.